This 237-nucleotide ribosomal RNA is filed under the name Paenibacillus nanensis. RNAcentral describes it as "partial 23S ribosomal RNA". It matches the Rfam family "Bacterial large subunit ribosomal RNA", at positions 2693 to 2925 of the family's 2925-position model. Lineage: Bacteria; Bacillati; Bacillota; Bacilli; Caryophanales; Paenibacillaceae. The record is from RNAcentral.
CGGGAUGGACGUACCGCUGGUGUACCAGUUGUUCCGCCAGGAGCACCGCUGGGUAGCCAAGUACGGACGGGAUAAGCGCUGAAAGCAUCUAAGCGUGAAGCCCCCCUCAAGAUGAGAUUUCCCAAUUAGUAAGACCCCUUGAAGACGACGAGGUUGAUAGGUUCGGGGUGGAAGCACGGCAACGUGUGGAGCUGACGAAUACUAAUCGGUCGAGGGCUUAUCCUAAAUGAUACCCAA